This 253-nucleotide ribosomal RNA is filed under the name uncultured bacterium. RNAcentral's name for it is "partial 16S ribosomal RNA". It matches the Rfam family "Bacterial small subunit ribosomal RNA", at positions 524 to 776 of the family's 1533-position model. The record is from RNAcentral.
UACGUAGGUGGCAAGCGUUGUCCGGAUUUAUUGGGUUUAAAGGGUGCGUAGGCGGUCUAUUAAGUCAGUUGUGAAAUACGGCAGCUCAACUGUCGAGGUGCAAUUGAUACUGAUGGACUUGAGUACUGAUGAGGUAAGCGGAAUGGACGGUGUAGCGGUGAAAUGCUUAGAUAUCGUCCAGAACACCGAUAGUGUAGACAGCUAACUAAGCUUUAACUGACGCUGAGGCACGAAAGUGUGGGGAUCAAACAGG